RNAcentral lists this long non-coding RNA (12347 nucleotides) under Homo sapiens (human). RNAcentral's name for it is "HSALNT0364048". The record is from RNAcentral. Lineage: Eukaryota; Metazoa; Chordata; Mammalia; Primates; Hominidae.
AGUGUCAGUUCAACCCUGUGCCUUGGGAGGCCCACUUCUCUGAACUGCCUUUGUAACUUGAGCUAAUUCCUCAUUGAGGAGCCUGGUGAGUUAAACCUGGACUCUUUUGCCAGGUGAGAUAACUGAACUUGAUUCUACAGGCCGGUUGCUUGUCAAACUGUGUUCCAUAAACUACUUAGAUUAGAGUGGGGCAAUGAAUCAGGGAGCAGGGUGCAAGCAAGUGCUAAACUCUGCCUCUGCUGAAGUAGCUGUGCUUACUGGUGCUUUAACAUGAAAUUUGUGGGGCAGAAUUUGCCGAACAAAUACCACUGGAAGGAAGGAAGGAAGGAAGGAAGGAAGGAAGGAAGGAAGGAAGGAAGGAAGGAGAGAAGAAGGGAGGGAGGGAGAGAAGGAGGGAGGGAGGGAGAGAAGGAAGGAGGGAGGAAGGAAGGAAAGAAGGAAGGGAGGGAGGGAGGGAAAGAAGGAAGAGAGGGAGGACGGGAGGGAGGGAGGAAGGAAGGAAGGAAGGAAGGAGAAGGGAAGGGAGGAAAAGAGAGAGGGUGGGAGAAAGAAGGAUCUCAUGGUAAUUUGCAGACAUAGAAUUUGAAAAGUUUGAUUCUAGGGAGUAAAAUUAUCUUGUAUGUAAUUUAGAAAAAGCCUUCUGGCAUAAGAAUAGAAAAUGAAGUAAAGGAAGUGAAACUGAGAAAGGAAAAUCAGUGAGGAGGCUAUUGACAGACUUAGAAGAGGUGAUGAGCCCUAAUCUAGAUUUGUAUUUGUUUUUAUGGAGCGGAAAGAUUGGAAUCCAGGUACAAUUAGGCGUACCGUCAGCAGGAUUUAGUGAGGGAUUGGAUUAUGGAAAAAUAAUAAUAACAUGCACCCAUAGGGUUGUUGGAAAGGUCAUAUUUAUGAAUGUGUUUUAAACUGCAGAGAGUAGUGGAAAAAUUAAUUAUGAGUAUUAUUUCAACUAGAUCAUAUCUCUCUUUAUUCCCAGAUAGUGUUCUUUCCAUGCACUCCUCCUAUGAUUCAUUGUAAAUUGAGCUUUUCACUAAUUGGAUUUGUGGAAAGCAAUAGAGAAUGCCAUUUGGCUACUUCCUCUUUAGGGAGUGUUAAUAUUCAAAUCUCCAGGUCAUUAUUUAGAAUACCCAGUUCCAACAAGGGAAAUUUAAAGUUUCAUCUCAUAUUAAUCUCUAAAGCAAGCUCUCCUUUGCCUCCAGAUGAGCAAAUAUUUGAACUGGAGAAAGAGGAUCUUUUCUGCGACUUACAACAAGUCUUUGACCAAAUUAUCCAAUGGUGGUAGAUUCUGAUAUCCUGAAGGGGCAUAUAAGAAUAUUGGCUUAUAAUCUAUGUUAUUAAUGAUAAGGAGCCUGAUGAUGAAGAUGAUAAUGAUAAUGACUCUAAUAAUCAUUAUAUUUACCAUAUUUUAAUACCUAUUGUGUGCCAGUAAAUAAGCUAAACACUUUCUGUACAUUGUUUAAUUUAAUAAUGCUCAAUGUUAUGAUAAUUUUACAGUUCAGAAAACUGAGGCUCAAAAAUUUUAAGUAACCUAAAUUGAUUCAGUUGGUAAAAUAUAGAACAGAGAUUUAAUCCCAGCCCAGUUUUCCUUGUUCCACAUCCCAUGCUCCUUGUUCCUAGGCAGGUGAAUCAAGUAUCAAGGCUUCUCUGUCUCCUUACUCCCCAGUCUUACCAACUGAGGCACCAGCCUUAUCUCCAGGCAGAAAGUAUUUUCCCUAAACGUUUUGGCCUUGUCCACACUAGAGUGGAUUUUCCUGAUUGGGGCCAUCAAUACACUGAGCAGACCUCUCUAAGCAGAGAAAGUGACAGGGCUUUACCCAAGAACAAACAAAAUGACAUUGUCUGUCACUCUCAGAAAUGUAGGUUUAACGUGUCAGACUAGGCUAACUGGGCUGGUGGGAGACUGGGACAUCCUACUGGCUUCUUAUUAAUGGGGAUCUCAGAGAAAUUUGAAUUCUUUCAAAGCAGACACUAAAGCUAUUUAACUGUGAGCUGAAACCUAUGCACUGACAUUGUAUCUGGAUCUUGGAGAGAAUUAAGGAUAGAACAAAGCCAUUUUCUCAUGAAGUUUUCAAUUCUCCACCUCUACUUCUGAAGAGGUAUAUACCUCAUCAUUGUGUCUAGUUCCCAAUUCCAGCCCUUUCCUUUCAGCUGCUUCAGAGUGGAGGCUCUGAAUUCAUCCUUGCUCAGCCAUUUAUCUACUAAGUAACCUUCAGUAAAUUUCCAACUCCUCUAACCUAGUAUUCCCAUCUGUACAAUGAGAAUAAUGACCACACCUUAGUAAUGGGCAUGAUAAAAUUUUAUCCAUUCAAGUGAAUCAAAAUUUUGUUAUACACAAAAAACCCUUGGAUUAAUACUUAACACUUUAUGAGAGCUUAAUACAUAUUAGAUAAUAAUAUUAUAAUAUAUAUGCAUGUAUACACAUAUAAACAUACACACAUAUAUGUAUUGUAUAUGUAUAUAUUUUUAGCUGUUGAAGUAGAAGCAAAACUUAACAGAGAAUGCCUCAAUUUGGAGUGCUUCCCUUCUAUGAGUUCCCUGAGUCUUCAUUUUCUCAAUUAUAAAAUGAGAGAGAACAAACACAACUACUUUGAUGUGUUCUUGUUAUCAUUAUGUAAUAUGUAUAAAGAGUUUAGCAGAUACCUGACAUUUAAUAAAUAAAAUUUAUUAUUCUGAAGAAGGAUAUGGAGGCUUGUAAAGAGAAUCAAAGAUGAGUCAAGGGGACAAUUUUAGCAAAUGUUAUUUUUCCCCCUUUUCUAAGAAUACUUUUCAGAUGUUCUACUUCCUCAUAUGUAAAAUGGGGACAAUAAUUACUUGCUGAUACAUAUAUAUUUUAUCAGGUAAAUAUAGAUGACUGAUAUAGAUGCAAUUUAUAUAGAUGUAGAGACAUAAGUAUAGCUAUAUAGACAUAACAUGGUUAAGUGGCUAGAACAGUGCCCGGUGUACAGUGGCUACUAAAUAUACCUAAGUUUUCCUUUUUCCUUCUUUCUUCCUCCUGUCCUUCUCACCCAUUUUAUUUUGCCUAAAUUUCUAAGUUCUAGAUGACUUUUUACUGUAUUAUAAUGAUUCAGGGUGUCAUACUUAACCCCUCUGUCCACACUAGACUAAUUAGACUCUAAAAUCCUUGGAAAUAAGAUCAAUGUCUGGUUCAUUUUGUGUCUUUCACAGUACCUACCAGGUACCUGGCAGACAGAAGAUAUGCUAUAGAUACAUGUUUGCUGUGGUUUGAGUGUUCUUCCCCUCCCAAACUCAGGUUGAAAUUUAAUAGCCAUUGUAACAGCAUUGGGAGAUAGGACCUUUGGCAGGAGCAGAGCCCUCAUGAAUGAAUUAAUGCUGUUAUCUAGGGAGUGAGUUCCUUAUAAAAGGAUGAGUUUGGCCCCCUUUUGUCUCUCUCUCGUCCUCUCCUUACCCUUCCAUUAUGUGGUGCCUCUUACCAUGUUAUGAUGGAGCAAGAAGGUCCUUGCCAGAAGCCUGCACCUUGAUCUUGAACUUCCCAGCCUCCAGAACUGCAAGAAAAAAAUUUCUGUUCAUUAUAAAUGAUUCAGUCUGUGGUAUUCUGUUAUAGAAGCACAAAAUGGACUAAGACAAUGUUGAAUAUGUGUUGUUUAUCAGUAAAGUAAGAAGAUAAUUCAUACUUACAAACUAAAGUGAGUGAGAGAAGGUUUUGAAGAAGGUUGUGAAAACAAUUUUUGAAUUGAGUGUUAAGAACCAAGUGUAUUGUGAAUGUUGACAACAAUUAUAAGAUAUAGAGUAGAAGGAGAUGAGUAACAUACUGAUUGUCUACUGUAUUUUAGGUUCUCUGCUACCCAUUUUGACAUACAAUUACUUAGUCAACUAAUCAACUUUAUGACCUGGGCCAUAACAUUUUUCUUUCCCUCUAAUGUAAGCCAUACUAACUCACCACUACAACAUUUUUGUACAGUUCCCUUUAUAUGUCCCUUAUUUAUGUCUAUAUGCCGUUUAGUAUAUACAGGUAAUUAUAGAAUGGAAAAGGGAUCUACAGUCCUACCAGACUAUAAUCCAGUGUCUCUGGUCAUUUUCUUUUGUAAAGUCUUUGAAGAAUCUGAUGUAUACAAAGAGUUUAAGAAAAUACAGUCGUGUGUUGCUUAACAAAGGGAUACAUUCUGAGAAAUGCAUGAGAAAAUUUCAUUAUUGUGUGAACAUUAUAUAGUGUGCUUAUACAAACCUAGUUGAUAUAGCGUACUACUACCUAAGCUAUAUAAUAUAGCCUAUUCCUCCUACGCUAUAAAACUGUAAGCAUGUUACCAUACUAAAUCCCAUAGGUAAUUAUAAUAUGAUGCUAAAUAUUUGUGUAUCUAAACAUAACUAAACAUAGAAAAAGUACAGUUAAUAUAUGAUAUUAUAAGCUUAUGAGACCACCCUUGUAUAUUUGGUUUGUCAUUGACCAAAAUGUUGUUGUGUGGUGCAUGACUGAAAUUGUUGAAAUAAGUACUGAUGUAACUUUGAGGGGACAGUCCAGCCAGGGUCAAAGACUGAGCAAAGGAAUUAUUUUGUGCCUCUCACCUUGAACUUGGUUGUGAAGACAGAAAAUGUUUAUAAGACUUAGGGAUAAGGGGCUUUGGAAAAUUAUCUGGAGAUGGUGGGAAGGUUCUGGGUUCUUAAUUUCAAUUUUUCUGUGUUCUUCCUCCUCCUACACACAAUCUCCCAACACUCCACACCCUCUCAAAAGGAUGUAGAUAUAUAUAGAUAUAUAUAUUUUUUUUGUUUGUCUCCCUCAAAAUAGCCUUGAUUUAUUUAGACAUACUAUGAAACCACGAAAUAGCCUUGGCUCCAGUAUGUUAUGUAAUACAUUUUCAUAGUCAAGCACUAACUAGUAAUUAUGAUAAUAACUUAUAUAUACUGAGUGCUUCAUAUGUGCCAGGCACUCCACUGUGGACUCCCACGUUGUUUAGGUCUUUUAACAACCAAUGAUUUAUGUACAAUUAUUAUCCCCAUCUUACAGAUGAGGAAAUUGUUGGUUAGUAAAAUGAAGAAACCUGCCGAAAGAUAACUUCAAACAGCAGGUUUGGGAUUUGAACACAAGCACUUUGACUCCAGAAACCAUGUAAUUACCCCUUCUUUAUACCUUUUUGCUGUAGAAUUAUUCCAAUCACCGAAACAUUCACAUUACUGUUAUUGAGAACUGUAGGAGGCCAAGUGUUGCGUUAUACAAAGAAAAUGCAGGCAUUAAAAGAAACAACCUAUAUCCUGAAGACUUGUAGAGUUUUAGAGCUACAUGAUGGUUGUUCUUUCGUUCCUCCAUUGGAUCCUUCAACAUUUUUGAACAUCUAUUAUUUUAAAGGCCUUGAGCUGGGUGCCAGGGAUAUAAAGAUGAAAGAACAGAAUUCAUAUCUUGAUGAGCUCCUAAUCUAGUACAAGGAAGGGAGUUACAAUGCAUGGAACAAAUAGAAUGCAGGAACCAGCAUGGCCGCAUCUCCAGCCCCAGUCCACCCCAUGGGGACAUGGCAAACUUGUCUUUCUGAGGUCAGAUACAGCUUCAGAAAUCUUUCAACACGAAGCUCCAGUUGAUAUAGUGUACUACUACCUAAGCUAUAUAAUAUAGCCUAUUCCUCCUAGGCUAUAAAACUGUAAGCAUGUUACCAUACUAAAUCCCACUAAUUAAUUGGAUUCAGUAUUUGAAAUGGAACCUGUUUGCUACUAUAAUCUAGUAAAAUGGCAGACAUGGAGGCAUAUAUGAGUGAGUGGGUACUCAAGGGGAUCAUAGAGUUCCAGGGUCAGUCCUUAAAGAGUAUCCAAUCCAACCAUCUCACUUUUCAAAUGGGCAAAAGUAAAGUCCAGAAACAGGUAGCAAAAGAGAAUUAGGUCAAGAACUCUGGUUCCCCAUGCCCUUUCCUCCACAUCACAGUUCUCUCUUGCUGAAAUAUCCUCUACAGUGAAGUGGGCUUCUGAUGGAGUCAAAGAAAAUGAGCCUGCACUGAUGUCUGCAAAUAUCUGCAAAACCUUCCUGGGGGUGAGGAGGCCGAUUGAGCUUGGGGUGAGAAGGCCUUUGGGGCUGCUUCCUAGAGCCUGGUGCUGAUCUGCUGAUUUUUAUGCCAUUUCUUUUAAUUAACAUGUAAAAAAGACAGCUCUGUCAGCUUGUGCCAAGUCUUUUGCGUCUUCAGCUUGGCGCACUGGGGCAUGAACCUGAGAUAUCGGUGAGUGAAAGUUCACAAUGCUAAAAUGGGAAGUAUUAAUGAGUGGAACCACCAUGCAUGCACUUACCACGAUCAAUUUUCCACUUAGACAGCUUUUGUCCAGUUGCAGUAACUACUAACCGAUCUAUAAUCCCUAAUGGAUUAAAGUGGAAAGGUCAGGAAUCAUAAAAUCAUCCAUUUCCCACUCAUUAAUUAUUCGAGUGUGGGCUCCUGGACCUGCCCCAGGCUGCAUCACAGUGAGAACUUAUUUAUAACGAGGUUACAAGGAGAUCAAACAGCCCAGACUAUGUAGAAAUAUGGAUUUGCAUGUAGUUUUCUGAAUGACUGAAUGAGACCAUAUGUGACAACAUGAUAGUUGUCAAUUGAUAAGAGAAAUGUGGUAAAGAAUCAGGACCAGGGUGAGGUGAGUGUGACCUUUCUUGACAAGUUUAAGAGGCUGCCAAAAAACUCAGUAAUCAAGAUAAAUAUUGCAAUAUGUUUUUAAAAUUUUAAAAUAUUGCAAUAUAUUUUUUAGAUCUCCUAAUGAGGAGAUGAACUGGGAUUGAGAUUCCCAAUGGUCUGUUCUUUUUUCUUUUUUUUCUUUUUUUGAGAAGGAGUCUCUCUCAUUUGCCCAGGCUAGAGUACAGUGGCAUGAUCUCGGCUUACUGAAACCUCCACCUUCCAAGUUCAAGCAAUUAUCCUGCCUCAGCCUACUGAGUAGCUAGGAUUACAGGUGUGCGCCACCACCCCCAGCUACUUUUUGUAUUUUUAGUAGAGACAGGUUUCACCAUAUCGGCCAGACUGGUAUCGGACUCCUGACCUCAUGAUCCACCUGCCUCAGCCUCCCAAAAUGCUGCGAUUACAGAAAACGAUGGAGGAAGAAAGAAGCGUGAAAUUUCAAACUCGUCAUGUUUUGUGAGUGGCUGAAGGGUGCCCAGGUGUAGACGGUCCUUUCUGUUAUCAGAGAUGUUAAUGAGUUUUGGAUACACAAAGAGAGUCAGGCAGUAGAAAAUUUUUGUUUUGAUUCAAUAUAACUUCAAAGCUUACAGAAUCACAACCAUCACCCAGAGGCAUGUCUAUAUGUACACUACGCAUCCGGAUAUGCCUAAACAUCUGAAUGGCUGACUACAGUUUGUGGACUUUUACUCAAACAUUUGGGAUCAAUAUCAGAAAAUAGAAGACAGAGUAAUAACUUCAGGGAAGCUGUCAGAUUGAAUGUUUAUAAUUGAAGGUUGGAAAAGUAACACCAGGAUCUGCUAUGUGAUAGAAGAGCUGAGUGAAGUAAAUUGCCUGCGAGCCAAUAAGGAAGGCAGGUGUGAUUGUGAUUAUCAGUGAUUUUAUUCCCCCUAAUUGUUGUCAGGAAACCUGUGAGACAUCAGAGCUAGGAGGAGAAAAUGAUUGACGUCUAAAUGAUGAGUUCCUGGAGCCAUGUGUCAAAGAGAGCCCACCGGGGAUAAUUCAUUUCUGGAUCUAGUGAUACCUCACGUCUGGGACAUAAGUGAAUAAGCAAUAGUUUAGCCAUUUGACCUAAUAUCCAGGAUUGGACAUAAUAGUAUUAUCUGGAAUUCAAAAUCAGUUACUAGUGAGACAGGCAUCCUUGGAUAAAUAAGGUGGCAAUGUCAUCUGGAAUUACACGCAGAUCUUUUUGAGCAUCUCAUUAAAAAAAAAAAAAAAUCAGGCAUUAACAAGGCUGGCAGCAGCCAAGCUGUGGACAAUACUCCAAGAGUACCUUGGCUCAGACAACCACAGUGUUAGUGAAGGAAAGGACUUAAUUUAAAUUAUCGCUACCAGUGUUCACAAACAAGUAGCCUGCAUGAUGAGUUAGUCUUCAGGGGAUAGGUUGUCUUUGGUAUGCUCUGCGUCAAAACAAAAAGUUGUAUAUAAAUCCCUUGGCAUGACUCUCCAGUUAACCAAGAUGCCACCACUUUUUUCUGCUUUAUGCCAGAUACCUUUACAUGCUUGUUACAACAUUACUGUGCCACUCAAAGGAUUUCAGUUUGCAGGUCCUGAAACUCAUUUAUUUGUUUGGCAGAUGAGAAAUCCAAAGUUCAGAAAAUUUAAUGUUGCCACCUAUUUCAGGUCAAGCAUAUACCCAAAAUGGGUCUGGAUGACUCAAUAAAACAUUUAUUCAAAUGUGGUUUUUUUUUCACCUAUUACAUGCCAGUGCCACUUUUAGUUCCUGACUUUAUAAGAUAGGCAUAAAAUCUGAAUUUCUGGAAUGUACAGUCUAGCGAGGGAAAAGCCCAGAAACGACAUGGUACAUGGUACAUGCUCAUUGGCCAUUAGCUCCCUGAACUUUCAUGCCUUAGGAAAACAAAAAAAAUUACUAUAUACCUUUUUGUUGUUGUUUUAUUAUUUUGAGUUUCGUGUCUUUGAGCUGCUAAUCAUUGCAGCAGUAGCUGGAAAUAGUCUUAAGUGGAAUGAAGUUCAUGGGGCAACAAAGACCUCCUUUACACAGGGUUGUCAGAGACAGAACAUGUGGCUUCCACAGAUGACCAAGAAAUGUGAUUUUACAGGAAGAAUUUUAGUUUUUAUCCAGAAUUCACAUACUAAUAGACUAUAGCUUAGGAAACACAUUUCUGGCUGCUUGUGAAUUAGAAUAAUACCACUGAAAAUUCUAGACAGGUACUUUCUAUAUAUUUUACAUACAGAAUGUUAUCACAGUCACCUCACAGUGUGUGUCUAUUAUUAUUUUCAUUCAACAAGAUGAAGAAACUGAGGCACUAGAAGUUGGCAUUUUCAAGUCCACGCAGCUAGUAAGCAGUAGAGCUGGGCUUUAGAUUCACAUCUGUAUGCUUCUGUUUCCACAGACUUCCCAGUGCCCCACUUCAAGGUCCUCUCUUCAGUUUUGCCACAUAGAAGAAAUUGUUUCUGGGAGAAUAGGCAGAAAUCACAAGGCCACGGCUUUGCCUUUGUGCUAUACAUUCCAGGACCACAUUCUGGGGCCAUGACAAAGGGAUUGAGAGACUAGUGAAUGCUACCAGUUAUUUAAUUUCAUCAGAGGAAGGCCAAAGCGAAAAAAGAAAAAAAGAUUAUCUUGUAUCUCACAUAGCAUAACAUUCUUUGCCCUGUUUUUUUUUUUUUUUUUUUUUUUUCUUGUGAUUGCAGCCUCUAAUUAUAUAUUGAACAAUUGGGGAUGUGGGAGGAAAGAACACUUUAGUCACUGCAAAAAGAAGUACCCUUGUUUGGUUGGGCACAGUAGCUCACACCUGCAAUCUCAGUGCUUUGGGAGGCCAAGGCAGGAAGGUUGCUUGAGGUCAGGAGUUGGAGACCAGCCUGGGCAACCAUAGUGAGGCCCCUUCUCCCUUCAAGAUAGAUAGAUAGAUAGAUAGAUAGAUAGAUAGAUAGAUAGAUAGAUAGAUAGAAUCUUAAUUAGCUUGGCAUGGUGGCUGCUAUGGUUGAACUAGCCACUUGGGCUGCUGAGGUGGGAGGAUAGCUUGAGCCCAGGAGUUUGAGGUUACAGUGUGCUAUGAUUGUGCUACUGUACUCUAGCCUGGGUGACAGAGCAAGACCCUGCCUCUAAUAAAACAAAAGCAAGUAUAUGAACAAAACAAAAGUACCUUGAGGUAGAUGGACAGUUAUUGUGUUUAAAUUUGCUACAGCCCCUGGGGCUAUGUGCCAAGGGGAAGACAAUGUGGGAAUGAGGAAGAGGCCUCAGGUGACUUUAGGCAGGUGGGAUUUUUUUAUGAACCUCACACUAUAAAAACCACCCAUUUCCACCCCACCCGCAAGAUGUAUAGAACUACCAUUGGCCUUCUAGGUGGUAAAAUCUUUUCCAAGAUUCUAGCAAGACAAUGUUGGUCAUUCUUGAAUUUAGGUGGUGGUUUUAUCUUGUGUGUGUGUUUUUUUUUUAUUUUUCUGGAUUUGGUAGUUAUUUUAUUGGUGUGAUAGUAAUUAAUGAUGUUUGUCAAAUAUUUUCAGUCUCUGCCUCUUCAGGGUACAUAAUAAUCUUGAUUUUUCUGGCUUCUUUAUAUUUGAGUGAUGACAACUGUGGAUAGAUGAUGUGUUGAAAGCUGCACUCUUCCCUUUGAUCCACUGGUUAGCAAUUUAGAAGAUAGUUUUUUCAUUAAUCUGGAGGCUUGAGUCACUGAAAUCAGCAUAGCCCAUUUUCCUACAAAUCCCCCAUAAUGGACUUGUAGAAUGAAUACUAUUAAUAUUUUGUUUAUUUUAAAACCACUGUAAGUUGGAAGUUGUUACUGCAACAAAACCUAGCUCAUCCUGACUGAUAAAACUGAAUGAUUCAGAGAGACUGAGUGAAGUAAUUCCAGUCAGAAGCCUCUUACACUAGAAGUUCCUAAUGUGAUCUUAAAGAUAAUGUGCUAUGUUUAAAAUAAACAGAGCCCUCUACUCUGAGAUGACAUUUUAUUAUAUUUAAUUAUUCAGUAUUAUGAGCUUUUAUUAGUCAUUAAACUCAAGUGAUUGUGAAAGUUAAGCUCAAAUUUCUUAGGAAAUAUACAUACAUUUAAUGAAUACUUUUUAAAACGAUCUGUCCAGUAAAGGCAACAUUUGUGAUGGACUACAAACAUGAACUUAGAAUUACAGUUAUAAUAAUGAUGUCACAUCUAUACUUAGAAUUUUUUAAUGGCUUUCCUUUAUACUCACGACAAAGCUAAUUACUUAGCCUGAGCAAAAUAAGUCUGUCCAUGACAGGGUUCCACACUUCUUGCUCCAGCCUCUUCUCUCACAACCAGAUGCACCUACUUGUGAAUCAUGAUUAUGAAGUGCUUGCCCAUCUCCUGUCUUGACACAUGCUGUUGCUUUUCUCUGGAGCACAUUUUAAUUCCUUUGCCUUGUCACUUGUGUUAGUUCGUGUGGGCUGCUAUUACAAAAUACCAUUGACUAGGUGGAAUAUCAAUAACAGACAUUUAUUUCUCACAGUUUUGGAGGCUGGGAAAUCCAAGAUCAAGGCACCAGCAGAUCUGGUGUCUGGUGAGGCCCUUCUUUCUUGUUCAUAGAUGGCAUCUUUUGGCUGCAUUUUCACAUGGCAGAAGGGGCAAGGACCUCCUCUAUCCCUAAUCCCACUCAAGAUGGGUCUGCCUUCAUGACCUCAUCACUUUCCAAAGGCCUCAGCUCCUCAUAUCAUCACCUUAGAAAUUAGUAUUUUAACAUAUGAACUUGGGGAUGAGUUACACCAACAUGCAGACGAUAGAACCACUCUUUACUCCUCCAUCUUUCAAUGUGGGUAUAAUUCCCUUAAGAAAACUUUCCCCCUCACCUGUACGGUAAGUCAGGAGUCUCAAAACAUCCCAUGCCUUUUUCUAGUAUAGUAUGUACCAUAAUGUGUUGAACUUAUCUAUUUAUUGGUUUACCCUCAUUAUCAACCCUUAUGUUCCUUGAAUAUAAGAACUAUUUUGUUGAUUGCAUUCCCUCACCACCCAACACAAUGUCUGGCACACAGUGUGCGCUCAAUAAGUUUUCGCUGAACUAAUAAAACUAACAUAGUAAAUGCUUUUGCGAACUUACAUGCUGUCACCUAAGUCACCAAGUCAUUCCUCGGCCAACACAUUCAUGAGUCUGUGUGAAUUUUCAAAAUAAGCAUUUGAUGCUAUCAUUUCCUGAAUUAAAUCAGGUACUUUCUCUUUUUUUUUUUUUUUUUUCGUUUUGAGGCAAGAUCCCUCAGUUGCCCAGGCUGAGUGCAGUGGCACAGUCAUAACUUACUGCGGCCUCAACCUCCCAGGCUCAAGCAGUCCUCCCUAGUAGCUGGUGCAUCACCAUGCAGGGAUAAUUUUGUAUUUUUUGUAGAGUUGAAAUCUCCCUAUACUUCCCAGGCUGAUCUCAAACCCAUGGGCUCAAGUAAUGCUCCUGCUUUGGCCUCCCAAAGUGCUGGGAUUACAGGUGUGAGCCACCAUGCCUGGCCAGGGACUUUUUCUUAAGUAGAGAAUUAAAGAAAGCAUAAUCCUAUUCCUUGCCAAAUGUGUUAUGCUAUAAAAAGACAAAGAAGCAUUAAUGAGUUUUUGGAAGUGUGAAUCUUAUAAACAAAUUAACAAUCAUUUUGAUACAAGAGCAUAAAAUAAAGGUAGAUAUCAACGUAUAAGGAUAACUUUGUAGGAAAACACUUUAGUAUACCCACGCUGCAUGCAGGUUUUGAAGAUACAGAAAUAAAGUGAGGACAAACUUCUGUUCUCAAGAAGUGCAGAGUCCAGUGAGAAAUAAAAAGGAUACACAGGAAUUCUAAAGAAAGAAAGGAUGAGUGAUAGAUUAGAGGCACAAAAUAUAAUGAGC